Molecule: ribosomal RNA, 1546 nt
Filed under: Salmonella enterica subsp. enterica serovar Infantis
Lineage: Bacteria; Pseudomonadati; Pseudomonadota; Gammaproteobacteria; Enterobacterales; Enterobacteriaceae
Description: bacterial SSU rRNA
Rfam family: Bacterial small subunit ribosomal RNA
Source: RNAcentral
AAAUUGAAGAGUUUGAUCAUGGCUCAGAUUGAACGCUGGCGGCAGGCCUAACACAUGCAAGUCGAACGGUAACAGGAAGCAGCUUGCUGCUUUGCUGACGAGUGGCGGACGGGUGAGUAAUGUCUGGGAAACUGCCUGAUGGAGGGGGAUAACUACUGGAAACGGUGGCUAAUACCGCAUAACGUCGCAAGACCAAAGAGGGGGACCUUCGGGCCUCUUGCCAUCAGAUGUGCCCAGAUGGGAUUAGCUUGUUGGUGAGGUAACGGCUCACCAAGGCGACGAUCCCUAGCUGGUCUGAGAGGAUGACCAGCCACACUGGAACUGAGACACGGUCCAGACUCCUACGGGAGGCAGCAGUGGGGAAUAUUGCACAAUGGGCGCAAGCCUGAUGCAGCCAUGCCGCGUGUAUGAAGAAGGCCUUCGGGUUGUAAAGUACUUUCAGCGGGGAGGAAGGUGUUGUGGUUAAUAACCGCAGCAAUUGACGUUACCCGCAGAAGAAGCACCGGCUAACUCCGUGCCAGCAGCCGCGGUAAUACGGAGGGUGCAAGCGUUAAUCGGAAUUACUGGGCGUAAAGCGCACGCAGGCGGUCUGUCAAGUCGGAUGUGAAAUCCCCGGGCUCAACCUGGGAACUGCAUUCGAAACUGGCAGGCUUGAGUCUUGUAGAGGGGGGUAGAAUUCCAGGUGUAGCGGUGAAAUGCGUAGAGAUCUGGAGGAAUACCGGUGGCGAAGGCGGCCCCCUGGACAAAGACUGACGCUCAGGUGCGAAAGCGUGGGGAGCAAACAGGAUUAGAUACCACGGUAGUCCACGCCGUAAACGAUGUCUACUUGGAGGUUGUGCCCUUGAGGCGUGGCUUCCGGAGCUAACGCGUUAAGUAGACCGCCACCGGGGAGUACGGCCGCAAGGUUAAAACUCAAAUGAAUUGACGGGGGCCCGCACAAGCGGUGGAGCAUGUGGUUUAAUUCGAUGCAACGCGAAGAACCUUACCUGGUCUUGACAUCCACAGAAGAAUCCAGAGAUGGAUUUGUGCCUUCGGGAACUGUGAGACAGGUGCUGCAUGGCUGUCGUCAGCUCGUGUUGUGAAAUGUUGGGUUAAGUCCCGCAACGAGCGCAACCCUUAUCCUUUGUUGCCAGCGGUCCGGCCGGGAACUCAAAGGAGACUGCCAGUGAUAAACUGGAGGAAGGUGGGGAUGACGUCAAGUCAUCAUGGCCCUUACGACCAGGGCUACACACACGUGCUACAAUGGCGCAUACAAAGAGAAGCGACCUCGCGAGAGCAAGCGGACCUCAUAAAGUGCGUCGUAGUCCGGAUUGGAGUCUGCAACUCGACUCCAUGAAGUCGGAAUCGCUAGUAAUCGUGGAUCAGAAUGCCACGGUGAAUACGUUCCCGGGCCUUGUACACACCGCCCGUCACACCAUGGGAGUGGGUUGCAAAAGAAGUAGGUAGCUUAACCUUCGGGAGGGCGCUUACCACUUUGUGAUUCAUGACUGGGGUGAAGUCGUAACAAGGUAACCGUAGGGGAACCUGCGGUUGGAUCACCUCCUUA